RNAcentral lists this ribosomal RNA (468 nucleotides) under uncultured bacterium. RNAcentral describes it as "partial 16S ribosomal RNA". It matches the Rfam family "Bacterial small subunit ribosomal RNA", at positions 28 to 507 of the family's 1533-position model. The record is from RNAcentral.
GACGAACGCUGGCGGCGUGCUUAACACAUGCAAGUCGAACGGAAAGGCCCUGCUUUUGUGGGGUGCUCGAGUGGCGAACGGGUGAGUAACACGUGAGUAACCUGCCCUUGACUUUGGGAUAACUUCAGGAAACUGGGGCUAAUACCGGAUAUGAGCUCCUGCUGCAUGGUGUGGGUUGGAAAGUUUCGGCGGUUGGGGAUGGACUCGCGGCUUAUCAGCUUGUUGGUGGGGUAGUGGCUUACCAAGGCUUUGACGGGUAGCCGGCCUGAGAGGGUGACCGGCGACAUUGGGACUGAGAUACGGACCAGACUCCUACGGGAGGCAGCAGUGGGGAAUAUUGCACAAUGGGCGGAAGCCUGAUGCAGCAACGCCGCGUGCGGGAUGACGGCCUUCGGGUUGUAAACAGCUUUCGCCUGUGACGAAGAGUGAGUGACGGUAAUGGGUAAAGAAGCACCGGCUAACUACGUG